This 324-nucleotide ribosomal RNA is filed under the name Triticum aestivum (bread wheat). RNAcentral's name for it is "partial small subunit ribosomal RNA". The record is from RNAcentral. Lineage: Eukaryota; Viridiplantae; Streptophyta; Magnoliopsida; Poales; Poaceae.
GAACCAACGAAUGCUCUGCAUGUUUAGGUACCUCACACUCGGACGACUCAGGUCGUAACCACUACACCCUCUGCGAGGCCAGUUGUCAUUAACGUUACGCUAACGGAACAGACGUCGUCGUAGACUCGUAAGAUGCCCGUUUCUGUGGGGACUUCGGGGUCCGACCUCCUUCUCUUACGCUCAGCCUUCAAGUAGAUCGCUCGCGGUGGGUACGCGACUGUCCUACUCACGAAACCUUCGUUGUGAUUCUUCGAUACGUCUCUUUUUUUUACUGUGACAGCAUCAAGGAUGAUACCCCUGUUUAAAACUAAGAGAACCUCUUCG